UUGUUUGGCAGCAAGAGUGACAUGAAGUUGUCGAGGUUCAAAUGCAGCGAUCAGGGAUCAUCCGCGCGGAAAGAAAAAAAAAGAAAAAAGAAGAAGAGGAAAUCAUCAGAAAAUUUUGGGGUUCAAGAAAAGCAAAAUAAUAAUAAUCCCCAGCGGAGCGCAAAUUGUUCGUCUGUUCUUGGUAUUCAGCCACUCUUCACCCUGAUC
This 207-nucleotide long non-coding RNA is filed under the name Lathyrus oleraceus (garden pea). RNAcentral describes it as "Pisum sativum (pea) long non-coding RNA (PSAT_LNC017717)". The record is from RNAcentral. Lineage: Eukaryota; Viridiplantae; Streptophyta; Magnoliopsida; Fabales; Fabaceae.